RNAcentral lists this ribosomal RNA (1343 nucleotides) under uncultured bacterium. RNAcentral describes it as "16S ribosomal RNA". It matches the Rfam family "Bacterial small subunit ribosomal RNA", at positions 28 to 1378 of the family's 1533-position model. The record is from RNAcentral.
GACGAACGCUGGCGGCGUGCUAAACACAUGCAAGUCGAACGGAAAGGCCCUGCUUUUGUGGGGUGCUCGAGUGGCGAACGGGUGAGUAACACGUGAGUAACCUGCCCUUGACUUUGGGAUAACUUCAGGAAACUGGGGCUAAUACCGGAUAGGAGCUCCUGCUGCAUGGUGGGGGUUGGAAAGUUUCGGCGGUUGGGGAUGGACUCGCGGCUUAUCAGCUUGUUGGUGGGGUAGUGGCUUACCAAGGCUUUGACGGGUAGCCGGCCUGAGAGGGUGACCGGCCACAUUGGGACUGAGAUACGGCCCAGACUCCUACGGGAGGCAGCAGUGGGGAAUAUUGCACAAUGGGCGGAAGCCUGAUGCAGCAACGCCGCGUGCGGGAUGACGGCCUUCGGGUUGUAAACCGCUUUCGCCUGUGACGAAGCGUGAGUGACGGUAAUGGGUAAAGAAGCACCGGCUAACUACGUGCCAGCAGCCGCGGUGAUACGUAGGGUGCGAGCGUUGUCCGGAUUUAUUGGGCGUAAAGGGCUCGUAGGUGGUUGAUCGCGUCGGAAGUGUAAUCUUGGGGCUUAACCCUGAGCGUGCUUUCGAUACGGGUUGACUUGAGGAAGGUAGGGGAGAAUGGAAUUCCUGGUGGAGCGGUGGAAUGCGCAGAUAUCAGGAGGAACACCAGUGGCGAAGGCGGUUCUCUGGGCCUUUCCUGACGCUGAGGAGCGAAAGCGUGGGGAGCGAACAGGCUUAGAUACCCUGGUAGUCCACGCUGUAAACGGUGGGUACUAGGUGUGGGGUCCAUUCCACGGGUUCCGUGCCGUAGCUAACGCUUUAAGUACCCCGCCUGGGGAGUACGGCCGCAAGGCUAAAACUCAAAGGAAUUGACGGGGCCCCGCACAAGCGGCGGAGCAUGCGGAUUAAUUCGAUGCAACGCGUAGAACCUUACCUGGGUUUGACAUGGAUCGGGAGUGCUCAGAGAUGGGUGUGCCUCUUUUGGGGUCGGUUCACAGGUGGUGCAUGCCUGUCGUCAGCUCGUGUCGUGAGAUGUUGGGUUAAGUCCCGCAACGAGCGCAACCCUUGUUCACUGUUGCCAGCACGUUAUGGUGGGGACUCAGUGGAGACCGCCGGGGUCAACUCGGAGGAAGGUGGGGAUGACGUCAAGUCAUCAUGCCCCUUAUGUCCAGGGCUUCACGCAUGCUGCAAUGGCUGGUACAGAGAGUGGCGAGCCUGUGAGGGUGAGCGAAUCUCGGAAAGCCGGUCUCAGUUCGGAUUGGGGUCUGCAACUCGACCUCAUGAAGUCGGAGUCGCUAGUAAUCGCAGAUCAGCAACGCUGCGGUGAAUACGUUCCCGGG